UUCCGUAGGUGAACCUGCGGAAGGAUCAUUAAUGAAACUUCAAAGUCGGCUCGUCUGUCUGUGCUGGUGGAGACACAUGUGCACGUCGGCGAGUCGCAAAUCCACACACACCUGUGCAUCUAUGACUCUGAGUGCCGCUUUGCAUGGCCCUCAGGGGCCUGGUACUCGAGUACUUUACACACUCUGAAUGUAAUGGAAUGUCUUUUUGUACAAUGUACAACUAAAAACAACUUUCAACAACGGAUCUCUUGGCUCUCGCAUCGAUGAAGAACGCAGCGAAAUGCGAUAAGUAAUGUGAAUUGCAGAAUUCAGUGAAUCAUCGAAUCUUUGAACGCACCUUGCACCCUUUGGUAUUCCGAAGGGUACACCCGUUUGAGUGUCAUUGUAAUCUCACUACAACCACUUUAUUGUUGUUUGUAUGUGGACUUGGAUGUUGCCGUGUAACAAACGGCUCGUCUGAAAUGCCUGAGUGUACCCUGCUUUUGCGGCGUAUUCGGUAUGAUAAAUCUUCACCGGAGUUGACUUUCGGGUCGCGCUUGUAUCGUCGGGCUCUAUGCUUCCAACCGUCCUGACAAGACAAUCUCUGACAAUUUGACCUCAAAUCGGGUGGGACUACCCGCUGAACUUAAGCAUAUCAAUAAGCGGAGGAAAAGAAACUAACAAGGAUUCCCCUAGUAACGGCGAGUGAAGAGGGAAAAGCUCAAAUUUUGAAUCUGGUGUCUUUGACUCCCGAGUUGUAAUCUAGAGAAGUGUUUUCCGCGUUGGACCGUGUACAAGUUCCCUGGAACGGGGCGUCAUAGAGGGUGAGAAUCCCGUAUAUGCCACGGACUACCAAUGCUCUGUGAUACACUCUCAACGAGUCGAGUUGUUUGGGAAUGCAGCUCAAAAUGGGUGGUAAAUUCCAUCUAAAGCUAAAUAUUGGCGAAAGACCGAUAGCGAACAAGUACCGUGAGGGAAAGAUGAAAAGCACUUUGGAAAGAGAGUGAAACAGUACGUGAAAUUGUUGAAAGGGAAGCGUUUGAAGUCAGUCACGUCUGUCGGAAUUCAGCCUGGCUUCUGCCUGGUGUACUUUCCGUCCGACGGGUCAGCAUCAAUUUCGACCGAGGGAAAAAGACGUGAGGAAUGUGGUUGUCUUCGGGCAGUGUUAUAGCCUCGGGUUGUAUGUCUCGGUUGGGAUUGAGGAACGCAGCGCGCCUAUUGGCCGGGGGUUCGCGCCCCUCGGUACGCGCUUAGGAUGCUGGCAUAAUGGCUUUAAGCGACCCGUCUUG
Molecule: ribosomal RNA, 1268 nt
Filed under: uncultured Sebacina
Lineage: Eukaryota; Fungi; Basidiomycota; Agaricomycetes; Sebacinales; Sebacinaceae
Description: eukaryotic LSU rRNA
Rfam family: Eukaryotic large subunit ribosomal RNA (bases 593-1268)
Source: RNAcentral